RNAcentral lists this microRNA precursor (87 nucleotides) under Chlorocebus sabaeus (green monkey). Its description in RNAcentral is "miRNA (ENSCSAG00000026347.1)". Lineage: Eukaryota; Metazoa; Chordata; Mammalia; Primates; Cercopithecidae. The record is from RNAcentral.
AUUACAGACAUGAGCCACUGUGCCUGGCCAGAACUGGCUUCUUAAAACAAAUUUAUCAGGCCAGGCGUGGUGGCUCAUGUCUGUAAU